This 425-nucleotide ribosomal RNA is filed under the name uncultured bacterium. RNAcentral's name for it is "partial 16S ribosomal RNA". It matches the Rfam family "Bacterial small subunit ribosomal RNA", at positions 354 to 796 of the family's 1533-position model. The record is from RNAcentral.
GUGGGGAAUCUUGCGCAAUGGGCGAAAGCCUGACGCAGCCAUGCCGCGUGAAUGAUGAAGAUCUUAGGAUUGUAAAAUUCUUUCACCGGGGACGAUAAUGACGGUACCCGGAGAAGAAGCUCCGGCUAACUUCGUGCCAGCAGCCGCGGUAAUACGAAGGGGGCUAGCGUUGCUCGGAAUUACUGGGCGUAAAGGGCGCGUAGGCGGACAGCUUAGUCAGAGGUGAAAGCCCAGGGCUCAACCUUGGAAUUGCCUUUGAUACUGGCUGUCUUGAGUUUGGGAGAGGUGAGUGGAACUCCGAGUGUAGAGGUGAAAUUCGUAGAUAUUCGGAAGAACACCAGUGGCGAAGGCGACUCACUGGCCCAAUACUGACGCUGAGGCGCGAAAGCGUGGGGAGCAAACAGGAUUAGAUACCCUGGUAGUCC